AGGACGAACGCUGGCGGCGUGCCUAACACAUGCAAGUCGAACGGGGGCAGCAAUGCCCCAGUGGCGAACGGGUGCGUAACACGUGAAGAACUUGUCCAUCGGCGGGGGAUAGCCGGCCCAACGGCCGGGUAAUACCGCGUACGCUUGCCUGGUGGCAUCACCGGGCACGGAAAGCAGCAAUGCACCGAUGGAGAGCUUCGCGGCCUAUCAGCUUGUUGGCGGGGUAAUGGCCCACCAAGGCGACGACGGGUAGCUGGUCUGAGAGGAUGAUCAGCCACAUUGGGACUGAGACACGGCCCAGACUCCUACGGGAGGCAGCAGUGGGGAAUAUUGCGCAAUGGGCGAAAGCCUGACGCAGCGACGCCGCGUGUGGGAUGACGGCCUUCGGGUUGUAAACCACUGUCGCGAGGGACGAAGAUCUGACGGUACCUCGAAAGGAAGCACCGGCUAACUCUGUGCCAGCAGCCGC
Molecule: ribosomal RNA, 469 nt
Filed under: uncultured bacterium
Lineage: Bacteria
Description: SSU rRNA
Rfam family: Bacterial small subunit ribosomal RNA
Source: RNAcentral